Non-coding RNA from Microcebus murinus (gray mouse lemur), 1071 nucleotides. The record is from RefSeq and is a predicted model, not a curated record. Lineage: Eukaryota; Metazoa; Chordata; Mammalia; Primates; Cheirogaleidae.
GCCGACACCUUGGUCUUGGACUUCCAGCCUCCAGGACGACCUGUACAGCGCCAGGAGGGCACGGGCCGUGUGAAUCAGCCUCCGUUUGCCCACCCUCCCUCCUGCCUUUGAAAAGUCCUAAUUCCUGCUGGCACAACCAGAGUGACGCUGAUUUUACAAGUGGCACUAUCUGUGUCCCUAUGGAGGGAGGAGUGAAGGAUGGUGCCAGCGUUGGUGGGAGAGGAGAUGGGACCAGCAGCAGCUCCCUCCCCCACCCCAACCUUUCAAAGAGGAAUGUUGGAAGAUUUGCUACAGCCAGGACCAUUUCCUCCAGCUCCCAGUAGGAGAAGCUGUGAGACUAGCCGUGGCCAAUGAGCUGUCAGCCAAAGCGGCGUGUCCCUUCUGGGCUGGACAAUAAUUGCCUGUGUAGGACUCUCGCAUGCUGUCUGUUCUGGCUGUGGCAGCCGAGAGGGUCGUCUUGUGUUUGCUGAUUGUGUGGGGGGAGCCUCCUCCCAUCCCCGCCUGUUGAAUGUCAUUUCGAGGUGUAACGAUGAGGGGAAGAGAGAGACGGAAACUCCUCCCCAGGUGUGUGCUCACUCUCCUCUAGGGUGCUGUCUGAAAAAGCCGUCCUGCACGGGGGAUAAAGUGACUCAAUAAAUGGGGGUAUUAUUGGGAAUCUCUUCUGGGUGUGGUGAGUGCUCGAUUUACCUUAGGACCUGAAAAACAACUGAUUGGCCCGUGGACUAUUCAGAAAGGAUUCAAGAAUUUGCUUUUCCAUCCAUGAAUGGACAUUUGGAUACAUUGCACAUUUAUAGAUGCCUUUUGGAAUUCUUUCCACUCUUAACUUUUUUUUUUUUGUCAUCACAUACUCCAUGACCUAUGAGUUAUACUUAGAAAUCCAGGCCUCUGGUCCCCAAACUCCAUUGUCUGCAUUCAAUUGUUGUGUAAUAAAUGUUUCUUCAGCAUCCUGCAUUCAAAUUCUGGCUCCCCUGGAGGGCAUCUGCCAGCUUUUGUUUUAUGGAGCUCCACAUGUUUAAUCUUUCUCGAAUUGUUUCAUGGGUGUCUGCAGAGUUUGCAUUAUUCACUCCAGAA